AUGGCGUGUCGUCAGCUCGUGUCGUGAGAUGUUGGGUUAAGUCCGUAACCGAGCGCAACCCUUGUCCUUAGUUACCAGCACGUUAUGGUGGGCACUCUAAGGAGACUGCCGGUGACAAACCGGAGGAAGGUGGGGAUGACGUCAAGUCAUCAUGGCCCUUACGGCCUGGGCUACACACGUGCUACAAUGGUCGGUACAAAGGGUUGCCAAGCCGCGAGGUGGAGCUAAUCCCAUAAAACCGAUCGUAGUCCGGAUCGCAGUCUGCAACUCGACUGCGUGAAGUCGGAAUCGCUAGUAAUCGUGAAUCAGAAUGUCACGGUGAAUACGUUCCCGGGCCUU
RNAcentral lists this ribosomal RNA (339 nucleotides) under uncultured Pseudomonas sp. RNAcentral's name for it is "bacterial SSU rRNA". It matches the Rfam family "Bacterial small subunit ribosomal RNA", at positions 1045 to 1382 of the family's 1533-position model. Lineage: Bacteria; Pseudomonadati; Pseudomonadota; Gammaproteobacteria; Pseudomonadales; Pseudomonadaceae. The record is from RNAcentral.